Molecule: non-coding RNA, 5197 nt
Organism: Cricetulus griseus (Chinese hamster)
Lineage: Eukaryota; Metazoa; Chordata; Mammalia; Rodentia; Cricetidae
Source: RefSeq, a predicted model, not a curated record
GAUGCUGCAUGGCUGUUUGCUUAGAAGAUCCCUCACUUAGGGCAGGAUAUUUCAAGGCUCCAGCAGACCUACCCCGCGUACCCCAGUGAUCCUACUCCUGAGAGGGACCCAUCUGGCAGGCUCAGUCUUGUUCAAGGAGGCAGACAUACAGGGUCUGAGCUUUCUCAUUGCCUGGCCCCAUCUGUCACUGUCAUCAGGCCUUGUAUGUCUCACCCCCUGGCUAUGUGUAGCUCUGAGGAAGCAGACUUGCUUCGGCUGGAGGAGGUCUUCUCAACCACCCUUGCCCGCACCAACAGUCUCAUUCUCCAGCCCCUGCUCUCAGCUGACCCGGAACCGUCAGAUCCCCAUGGCAGAGAGUGCCUUCGGCUUCUGCAGCAGCUGCAUGAAAGUUCCCAACGGUUAUGGGAGGUGACAGAGCAGAGCCUGCAUUCGCUUCGGCAGAGGCUAUACCACCCGCCCUCCAAGGGUCUGGAGACCCUGCUGUUACUGAACAGUGCUGACCAUGUCCUGCAGGCCCACAUGGAGUACAUCGAGUCGUAUACUGACUGUGUGGUGAUGCAGGCCUUUCAGAAGGUCUCAAAGAGGAGGAGUGAGUACUGGAGGAGCCAGAGGAAGAAGCUGCAGCAGCUGCUGUCCUGGGCGAGCUCUGAGGGCUCAGUGGGCACCACACUGUGCCAAGCCCUCAGCCAGCCACUCACCCAGCAUGUGCAGAAAUAUAUCCUACUCCUACUGAGCCUCAGGGACACCCUUGACAAGUGCCAUCCAGCCCAGGAGCUGGUGAUGCGUGCGGUCACCCUGUUUGGGAACCUGCAGUCCUUCCUGAGGCAGGCCUUGGACCAAGCUGUGGCCACACAGGCCCUGUGGUACAGCCUCAACAGCCGCGCAAGGCAGGACGUGCUGUGUGCCCCUGCCCGCCGGCUCCUCCAGGACAGCCAGGACAUCCCUGUGGUGGUCGCCCCGCUGCGGGCUGAGCGCGUGCUACUCUUUGAUGACGUCCUUGUCCUGCUUCAGGGCCACAAUAUCCACACUUUUGACCUGAAGUUGGUGUGGGUAGAUCCUGGCCAAGACAAGUGUGUGCUUCGCAUCCUCACACCUGAAGAGGAGUUCUCCUUUUGCACCAGAAACCCCCAGGGCCAGGUUGUGUGGCAGUGGAAAGUGACCCAGGCUGUGUGCCAGGCCCUGCGUGGCAAGAAGGACUUCCCUGUGCUGGGGUCCGGCCCCGAGUCAUCCUUACCCCCUGACUGCCGCUGUGUGGCCUAUACUUUCCGCCAUGAGGGCCGUUUCUACCAGGCUACCUAUGAGGGUGAUUGGUGCCGGGCCAAGCUGCAUGGCAAUGGACCUCGCCUGUGUUCCAGGGGAACCCUGAAGUGGCCCGAUGGGCGUAACCAUGUGGGGGAUUUCUGCCAGGGCCUGGAGCAUGGCUUUGGCAUCUGCCUGGUGCCCCAAGCCUCUGAGGACAAGUUUGACUGUUACAAGUGCCACUGGCGGGAAGGCAGCAUGUGUGACUAUGGCAUCUGUGAGUAUGGCACUGAAGAAGUGUACAAGGGCUAUUUUCAGGCCGGCCUUCGGCAUGGAUUUGGUGUCCUUGACAGUACCCCACAGGCCUCCCAGCCCUUCAGGUACACAGGCCACUGGGAGAGAGGCCAGAGGAGUGGCUAUGGCAUUGAGGACAACAGUGAGAGGGGUGAGCGCUACAUUGGCAUGUGGCAGGCUGACCAGCGUCAUGGCCCUGGGGUCGUGGUCACCCAGGCAGGCGUCUGCUAUCAAGGAACAUUCCAAGGGGACAAGAUGGCUGGCCCAGGCAUCCUGCUAUGUGAGGAUGACACUCUGUACGAGGGCACUUUCACCAGGGACCUGACCCUCCUAGGGAAGGGCAAGGUCACCUUCCCCAGUGGUUUCACCUUGGAUGGUUCUUUCAGCAGUGGGACAGAUAAAGGACUGUUCACACAGGGAGUGCUGGACACAGCCGCCCUCCCGCCCAACCCAGCCAGUACUCGCAAGAGACAGCUGGGGCUGGGUGCCUUCCCUGUGGAGAGCCGCUGGCAGGGAGUCUACAGGCCUUUCCAGGACUUCGUGCGUUCAGGCUGUCCUGGGGAAAUGCAGGAAGCCCUCUUGGGCUUCCAUGUGCAGAGCUCCAGGGAGCUCCGAGAGUCCCAGGAGUACCUGAGCUGUGAGAGGAGCCACCCCAAGGACUGUGCGGGCAGCAUGGAAGAUACCCUGAAGGAGCUGCUGCCCCACCGCGAGCCCCAGGCCCUGCAGCAGUACCUCAGGAAGGCUCUGAGCAAUUCCCGACACCCCCUGGGGAGGUUACUCCGUACCCUGAUGCUGACCUUCCAGGCCACAUAUUCAGGCAUAGGAGCCAACAAACACCUACAGGGGAUGGCCCAGGAGGAGGUGAAGCAACAUGCCCAGGAGCUUUGGGUCGCCUACAGGGGUCUGUUGAAGGUUGCCUUACAGCGCCAGGGCCAGACCCUGGAGGAGGAGGACAUGGAGACAAGGAACCUGCGGGUGCACGGGUUGCUGCUGCCCCUCGUCUUGCCCAGCUUCUACUCGGAGCUCUUCACACUCUACCUGCUUCUUCAUGAGAGAGAGGAUGGGUUGUACAGCCAGGGCAUUGCCAACCUCAGCCUGUUCCCUGACACGAAGCUGCUGGAGUUCCUGGAUGUGCAGAAGCACCUGUGGCCCCUCAAGGACCUCUGGCUGACAAGCAAUCAGAGAUAUUCUCUGGUCCGGGACAAGUGUUUCCUGUCAGCCACUGAGUGUCUGCAGAAGAUCAUCACCACAGUGGACCCUCGGGAGAAGCUGGAAGUGCUGGAGAAGACCUAUGGGGAAAUCGAGACCACGGUGUCUCGGGUGCUGGGCCGGGAGUACAAACUACCCAUGGAUGACCUACUGCCCCUGCUUAUCUAUGUGGUGUCCCGAGCCCGAAUUCAGCAUCUGGGAGCUGAGAUCCACCUGAUCCGUGACAUGAUGGACCCCACCCAAACAGGUGGCCUCCAUGACUUCUUGCUCACUGCUUUGGAGGUGAGGGACCCGGGCUGUGAGCCCACGGACAUCACUCCCUGCCCCAGACACCAUGGUAGAAAGAGCUCAAAUCCCCAUCGUACUUGUCUUCAUGGAAAGGAUCCCUUGUGCUGUUCCCAGGGCAGAUGAGCCUCACAGCCCUUCCGGCUGUAGCUCUGAGCAGUGUGCAGACGGAAGGCCUCUGCAGAGUGUGGCUGACAGCUAGUCCUGACUGGAGCACGGUGUACACAGGGAGUCCUGUUAUGAGCACAUCCAGAAGGAAGACGUACGACUGCACCGCCUGCCUGGCCACUGGAACUCUAGAGAACUCUGGUGACGUGGCUACUCUGGACCAAGGGCAAAGCUGGGGCCACAUGGCCGCAGUGGACCUUUGUGGAGCAAGCCAGCACUGCCCAUCUGCCCCCCAUUGCCUGGGUCAAGGCAGGCUGUGGAGGUAGUCCUCAAAGGAGAUGGUGUUUUGCUUCCUUGAGGGACAUGCCCAGCUGCUGCAGUGUGAUCCCAUAGCUGAUAACUUGCCACUGGCCUCUGGUCUGGGCUCAGAUAACCUUUUGCCUGGAAGUUGCACCAUCUUGGGUGAGGAGCACUCGCUUCACUCUGCCUCAGGCCUUAGUCAGAAACCAGCACUCUCUGGGCUGCGUGCCCAUGUGAUGGUGGAAAUGAUUUCCAACAUUCUUCCAGUCCAGUUCACUUAGCUCUGCAGGCCUCCCCAAGAUCUGGCUUCAUUCAGUUCUUUGGACUGAAAUGGAAAUUCUCACUGUUCAUCCCAUUUCUAUUUCUCGGCUCCUGGCUAGAAGGUCCCAAACUGCAGAAGGCUCAGAUUGUUCCGUUCCUUUUCCCAUGAAUAUCUGCCUGGGGACCUGCUUCCUCCUCAGCUGAGCUUCAGGCCUGAGCUGGCCUCUCAGGAGGACCGGGUGGCAGGAAAACCUCAGCUCCACACCAAGCUGCCUGGUUGCCUCUGUCAGGCCCUGCCCUUUGCAAAGGCUUGGGAUGCAAACAUCAGCAGUCAUUCACCAGGCCUCGAUCACCAGCAGACUGCAAGUGGCCCAUAAAUGACAUACCUGAGACACUGUUUUGGGUUCUCUGGAAGAGACAGCAGUAAUAUUCGAGGCUUGCUAGUGCCCUAACAGAUGAACAUCUCUGGCUCAGGGCCAUAAACAAGUUUGGGCAUGGUGCUGGGCUCUGGGUCACUGUUUCUGGCUCAAGUUAUGCCUCCCACCAAUUCAGCCUGUGUGGGAAGGGCUAAGGUAUAGAUCCAAAGCCAGGGCUGAGACUCCUGGGAGCCUCAGGGAGGACCACCUUCAGAGCCUCUCAGAAAGUGUGGAGCACUGUGAAGAGAGCCUACUGUUCUCCUACCCUGCUGUCCCCAGAGCGAGCAAAGAGGCUUUCUCUGGCUGGAUCCACCAAAUGUUUCAGCGUGAACAUAGGGCCUGGGGCUUGAGUUCUGCCAGGAACUUGGUCCCCAGGAAAGUCUUUGGAAGCGUCAAAGUGAUGGAGGCCUCUCUCUCAAUGACAGUCCUAAGUGCCUAUGACACAGAUCAGCUGUGAGAAAACCCUGCCACCUACUCCCCUGUUCCCAAUACUAACUGAACUUGGGCCUCUGGUCCUUGUGGGUCCACAGGGUUUCCAUAAUGUCCUGGUAGGUUCCAGGAGCAGCCAGGGCUGUAACAAACCCUUGGGACAAAAUUGACAUGUGAGGGGAUGCAGGAAGAUUGACAACACAAGGGGGUGCCAGUCAGCCACCCACAUUCGGUGCUUCUGGAGACUGGAGGGGCCAUCUCAGUGAUGGCCUCUUUAGAGGUGUUAACUGUCCAGCCUAGAACACCUUUUGACUUGUGAGUCGUGCAAGAGGGCAGUCUUAGGAGUUCACGGUUGCUAUCAUCAGUACCCUUACUGCCAUAAGAGAAUCUGCAGGCCAGAUGUAAAACUCCCUCAGUCCACCUCACUUCACGUCUUCCUAGAAAGGAGGCCUGGAGUCCGGAGGGAAGAAUGUGAGAGAUGACACAGGAUGUGAUUAAAGUCUCUGACAUCUAAGAGACUUUAUUUCCCUUCUUCAUUUCCCCUGGUGCCUCAUAAUGGUUUGUUUUUGUUUUUUGCUGGCUACUUCUCUGGGGCCUGGCCACAGUUACAGUCUACUUAUUUAUUGCGCAUUUUUAAUAAAUCCGUUUCAUCUUUA